Molecule: unclassified non-coding RNA, 253 nt
Filed under: uncultured Phycisphaeraceae bacterium
Lineage: Bacteria; Pseudomonadati; Planctomycetota; Phycisphaerae; Phycisphaerales; Phycisphaeraceae
Description: contains 16S-23S intergenic spacer region
Rfam family: Bacterial small subunit ribosomal RNA
Source: RNAcentral
UACAGAGGCCUCGAGCGUUGCGCGGAAUCACUGGGCUUAAAGGGUGCGUAGGCGGAUGUGCAAGUGCCUUGUGAAAUCCCAGAGCUCAACUCUGGAACUGCUUGGUAGACUGCAUGUCUUGAGGUCGGUAGGGGUCGCUGGAACAGUUGGUGGAGCGGUGAAAUGCGUAGAUAUCAACUGGAACGCCAAAGGUGAAGACAAGCGACUGGGCCGAUUCUGACGCUGAGGCACGAAAGCGUGGGGAGCAAACGGG